RNAcentral lists this non-coding RNA (21 nucleotides) under Caenorhabditis elegans. The record is from RNAcentral. Lineage: Eukaryota; Metazoa; Nematoda; Chromadorea; Rhabditida; Rhabditidae.
UUCUCUAGUCUGGGGUGUUGA